This is a long non-coding RNA of Centrocercus urophasianus (Greater sage-grouse), 2760 nucleotides long. RefSeq lists it as uncharacterized. The record is from RefSeq and is a predicted model, not a curated record. The transcript is spliced from 2 exons. NCBI's taxonomy places the organism in Eukaryota, Metazoa, Chordata, Aves, Galliformes, Phasianidae.
UUGUGGAGUGUGUUUUCUGUUUGCCAGAAAUUCAAGCAGGGACAUGAAACCAGUUCUGAGCACUGGAAUAACUAUUGAAGCUUUAACAUCCAGCCACAACCAUUUCAGUUUUAGAUGAUAGUGUUUUGCUGGACAUACCUUCAAUUUGGUGGCUCAAGGAUUUGCAAACAAUGAGUCAUAACUCCCUGGGAUCGAAAUUGCAGCUGCUGGGGCACCAAGCAUUGAAAAGUGUGGUCCAAGAUAGAGCAAAGUAAACCUCACUGCCCACACACCCUUAUCCUUCAAGGCUGAGUAUCUUUGCAACACUCUUCAAAAACAUGCACACAAAAUUAUACGGUUGCUAUUGAUACAGAACUUACUUCUCCUUUUAGAGCAGAUAAGAGGGAAUUGCGAAAAUCUGUGAUUUGAAAGAACUGAAGCAGAUGGACCUGAGGCCAAUAUGCAGCACCCUGUGCUUGCAGGAAGGCGGCUGGAUUGUGAGAAAGGUGUUGUGCUAUGGUAUGUGGCCAAGCCCUUCUGCCCAAAGAGCCCCCAGGGCCUCUGCAGACCACGUCUGGCCCUUCACAUCCAGGAUGGACCUGCAGAAAGCGUAUGGAGGUGGUUUGGUUCCAACUCAAGGAGAGCUUCCCCUCUUCGAAAUGCCUAUGGGACACUUUUUUGGCAUGGACUGACUGCUAAAGAAGCUGCCUGCAAGUCACCUGUACCAUAAAAUAUCCCACUUGCAGCGCUCACAUGGCAUCAGGGCCCUGUUGUGUGACACAUUCUGGGUACAACAACAGCAUGACACAGCCACCUUUGCCACAAAACCGCCUGGCUGCGGGGCUCACGCGGCUGGUCUGUGCAAGGGAGAGUGGCAGGAUACAACCUAUGGGUCCUGCAGGCUGUUACAGGCCUGUCUGGCCUGGCCCUGUGGCUGCAAAUCCACUUAUGUCAUGAGCUGGGAGAUCUCAGACACACCAGACCUUCACUCUCAUGGCUUCAGAACGUGCAAGUCCUAGCAUUAUAAUGAUAAUUUGAGGAAGCUGGCCUGGAAAGCAAAAGAUGGCAAGAGAAAAACAUUGCAAAGCUCCUGAGAGGAAGCUUCACACAUGGAUGACAGGACGGUCAGCUGGAGCUUUAUUUUUCCAGACCUUGGGUAACAAAGGCAACAAAGGAUCCCAUGGCUGUGACCAGCAAUGAGGAGGAGGGACUGCAGGACUCAGGUGAGCCAAAAUAUGCUGGGUAAGUACUAGAAGAAUGAGCAGGCUCCCCCCAAGCUUUAACAUCACAGAUGGUCCAAGGUGAGGUGGCUGUAUGUCCAUGGGAAGUGUGUGAGUGCAUUAGAAACUAUGAGAAACAUCAGCUAAGCCAAGGUGCAGGUUAGCCCCCUGGAUCUCUCUGCAGGCCCCUCUGAAAUCAGCACAUAAUGAGUGCUUUUGUAUUCAGGCUAUUUCUCUCACUGCCAUUUCAUGGACUGGCAAGAGGAAGGGGAGGAUCCCUUUCAGUCCAAGGACACGCAAAGAGAUGGUGUUUUAUUAUCCCUAAUUGGAUGGGACAGAGAUUAGAUGUCACAAAGGGGACAAAUCAAAGCUGGAGACGUUUCUUACUUCCUGGUUCAUGGGAUAAAUGCUGAAAUAUGUUGAGGUUUCUGCAGUGGUAAAUGUUUGUUUGCUAUAAUAUGAUGGAUCUGCUAAUCUCUGUGAAAGUUCCUCAAAGGCAGCAAACUUCUUUCUUGUAAGCAAUGUUAGUGAUUGGGAACAAUUGGCUUUGUGCUUUAAACCAAUCAAUUUUUAUAAGGUUCCAUUGAGUUUUUGUAUUAUCAAUUGAGUGGUCAGAUGUGAAACACUAUUUUCUUCACAGGCUACAGCAUUUAGUCGUGCUGUUCACUGCAUAAUGCUCUGGUGUCUCCUGAGCCCCGUGUUUAUUCUGGUGGGGAAGUGUGUGUGUGUCUGUACAGCCAGGUAAAACGCAGAAGCCACCACUCAGCACUUCCAUUUACCUCUUUCUUACCACUGUCUCUUUGCUUUCAACCACAGCCAACCUAACUGUCAUCUGUGCCAAAUUACAAGCACCCGGGCUACAUCACAAGGUCCUCCCUGCAGACAUUCAUUCUCCUGAAUGACAGCAUUCACGUGUUCUUCAAGGCAGCAGGACUUUGCCUCGUCAGCCUGAGCAAAUGCAGCAUUUCCACAGUGGACCAGAAACUCAUCACGGAUGGCUAUUGCAUGACACAGCUGCUGGUUGUGCCAAGAAAGCCAGUAACACAGGAACUCAGUGCGAGGUUAUCCUCUGUGUAACAAAAGCACUUAAUAGAUGGCGCCAGGAUCGCUCUGCGAUCGAGAGGGAAGGAAGAAAUCUCACCCACGGGCCUUGACUGCUUUUUGUAGUGUGUAAAAACAAAAAAAAAAAAAAUGCAAGUUUUAGGCAUGAGAGCAGGGGAACGCUCUAUAGCACAGCUCUCACGCCUGCUGCUAACAGCCCAGCGUGUGCCUUCACUUAAAGGAAACUGGCAGGGCCAGGAGUGCUGUGCCCCACCAGCUGCUGCUGUGCCCAAAGCUGCCGUCCUGGGGCUCAGCUGUGAACCACAGACCUGCACAAUCAUCAGAUCGUUUCAACUGGAACAGAUACUCCAGAUUAUCACAUCCAACCAUCACGCUGCCCUACCGCAUCCCAUCACUAAGCAAUGCCCUUGGUGCCAUGUCCACGCAAUACCUGCACUGCCUCCCCGGGCAGCCCAUUCCAACGUUUAACACUGCUAACGAAUACAUUCGAGUCGCCUUA